UUGUGACUUUUUAUAAUUUCCACUCUCUGUUUUUGUUCAAAUGACUGUAUCAGAACAGCAGUCUGGCUUACAGCAGAUACUUCAUCACUGCCAGAAAUAUUUAUUAUGUUAUUUUGAACAUGUUUAUUCCUAUUUCUGAGGAACUGCUUACCCGAGGACCACCAGAUUUGAAUUCUGCAAUUUUCGAGCUGCUACUGGCUAAUUUCUUCUCAAUAAUAUGCAGAGUCGCAUCUUCAACUUCCCUUGGAAUCGAUUCAACAUCAUUAAUUCUGAAGAUGUCAUUAACAGUGAUGGCAGUUGGUGUUUUUUGAAAGCAAAGACUUUCAUGUUCUUGUCUGCUCUUUUCAUCAUGCACAUUAAAUGUAGAACCACAUGAAUUUUUGCAGGCAAUCACAAUACACUUUAGCAUGUCAGCUACGUUUACAGAUUUUUCAAUUUUUUGAAAAUUAGUGCCACACACUGGACACAUAGGCCUAGUCAAUAGUUUUCACUCAAUCUUGGGCAGGAUGCAGUUCAUUCAAAAUGAAUGCUGGCAUUUUUGAAUGUAUACAGGAAAUUUUUGUAUGUUAUUACAAAUAUUGCAUAUGCACAAUUUAAGAUAAGGAUUUAUUUCAUUAUCCAAAUUUUCUACAUUGUAUAUAUUGUGUGGAAAAGUGUCAAUGUAAUUGUCCUGAAUUUUUUGCAAAAUAUCUCGUGUCCA
Long non-coding RNA from Hydractinia symbiolongicarpus, 700 nucleotides. RefSeq lists it as uncharacterized. The record is from RefSeq and is a predicted model, not a curated record. NCBI's taxonomy places the organism in Eukaryota, Metazoa, Cnidaria, Hydrozoa, Anthoathecata, Hydractiniidae. The transcript is spliced from 2 exons.